GAGGUGGUGCAUGGCCGUCGCCAGCUCGUGCCGUGAGAUGUCCUGUUAAGUCAGGUAACGAGCGAGACCCCUGCGUCUAGUUGCUACCAUUACUCUCUGGAGCANNNGAGCGAAUUAGACGGACCGCCACAGUUAAUGUGGAGGAAGGAAGGGGCCACGGCAGGUCAGUAUGCCCCGAAACCCUAGGGCUACACGCGGGCUGCAAUGGUAUUGACAAUGUGUUCCGAAUCCGAAAGGAGGAGGCAAUCAUCAAACAAUAUCUCAGUUAUGACUGAGGGCUGUAACUCGCCCUCACGAAUAUGGAAUCCCUAGUAACCGCGCGUCACUACCGCGC
Molecule: ribosomal RNA, 334 nt
Filed under: uncultured archaeon
Lineage: Archaea
Description: bacterial SSU rRNA
Rfam family: Archaeal small subunit ribosomal RNA
Source: RNAcentral